AACGAACGCUGGCGGCAUGCCUAACACAUGCAAGUCGAACGAACCCUUCGGGGUUAGUGGCGCACGGGUGCGUAACGCGUGGGAAUCUGCCCUUUGCUUCGGAAUAACUCAGGGAAACUUGUGCUAAUACCGGAUGAUGUCUUCGGACCAAAGAUUUAUCGGCAAGGGAUGAGCCCGCGUAGGAUUAGGUAGUUGGUGGGGUAAAGGCCUACCAAGCCGACGAUCCUUAGCUGGGCUGAGAGGAUGAUCAGCCACACUGGGACUGAGACACGGCCCAGACUCCUACGGGAGGCAGCAGUGGGGAAUAUUGGACAAUGGGCGCAAGCCUGAUCCAGCAAUGCCGCGUGAGUGAUGAAGGCCCUCGGGUCGUAAAGCUCUUUUACCAGGGAUGAUAAUGACAGUACCUGGAGAAUAAGCUCCGGCUAACUCCGUG
This 433-nucleotide ribosomal RNA is filed under the name uncultured bacterium. Its description in RNAcentral is "partial 16S ribosomal RNA". It matches the Rfam family "Bacterial small subunit ribosomal RNA", at positions 29 to 507 of the family's 1533-position model. The record is from RNAcentral.